RNAcentral lists this ribosomal RNA (497 nucleotides) under uncultured bacterium. RNAcentral's name for it is "partial 16S ribosomal RNA". It matches the Rfam family "Bacterial small subunit ribosomal RNA", at positions 28 to 507 of the family's 1533-position model. The record is from RNAcentral.
GAUGAACGCUGGCGGCGUGCCUAAUACAUGCAAGUCGAGCGAACGGACGAUAAGCUUGCUUCUCUGAUGUUAGCGGCGGACGGGCGAGUAACACGUGGAUAACCUACCUAUAAUACUGGGAUAACUUCGGGAAACCGGAGCUAAUACCGGCUAAUAUUUUGAACCGCUUGGUUCAAAAGUGAAAGACGGUCUGGCCGUCACUUAUAGAUGGAUCCGCGCUGCAUUAGCUAGUUGGUAAGGUAACGGCUUACCAAGGCAACGAUGCAUAGCCGACCCGAGAGGGAGGUCGGCCACCCUGGAACUUGAACACGGUCCAGAAUCCUAAGGGGGGCAACAGUAGGGAAUCUUCCGCAAUGGGCGGAAACCUUACGGCGCAACGCCGCGGGAGUGAUAGAAGUCUUCGGAUUGUAAAACUCUGUUAUUAGGGAAGAAAAUAUGUGUAAGUAACUGUGCACAGCUUGACGGUAACUAAUCAGAAAGGCACGGCUAACUACGUG